GGGAAUGUAGCUCAGUUGGUUAGAGCGUCACAUUGACAUUGAGAAGGUCAGAGGUUCGACUCCUCUCAUUCCCACCA
This 77-nucleotide transfer RNA is filed under the name Candidatus Komeilibacteria bacterium. RNAcentral's name for it is "tRNA-Val". It matches the Rfam family "tRNA". From Rfam's summary of the family: Transfer RNA (tRNA) molecules are approximately 80 nucleotides in length. Their secondary structure includes four short double-helical elements and three loops (D, anti-codon, and T loops). The record is from RNAcentral. Lineage: Bacteria; Candidatus Komeiliibacteriota.